AACGAACGCUGGCGGCGCGCCUAAUACAUGCAAGUCGAGCGAGAAGACGUAGCAAUACGUUUGUAAAGCGGCGAACGGGUGAGGAAUACAUGGGUAACCUACCCUCGAGUGGGGAAUAACUAGCCGAAAGGUUAGCUAAUACCGCAUACGACUCUCGAUCUUCGGAUCGGGAGGGAAAGCGAUACCGUGGGUAUCGCGCUCUUGGAUGGGCUCAUGUCCUAUCAGCUUGUUGGUGAGGUAACGGCUCACCAAGGCUUCGACGGGUAGCUGGUCUGAGAGGACGAUCAGCCACACUGGCACUGCGACACGGGCCAGACUCCUACGGGAGGCAGCAGUAAGGAAUAUUGCGCAAUGGGCGACAGCCUGACGCAGCGACGCCGCGUGGGGGAUGAAGGUCUUCGGAUUGUAAACCCCUUUCGGCAGGGAAGAUGGAACGGGUAACCGUUCGGACGGUACCUGCAGAAGCAGCCACGGCUAACUUCGUGCCAGCAGCCGCAGUAACAC
Molecule: ribosomal RNA, 504 nt
Filed under: uncultured bacterium
Lineage: Bacteria
Description: bacterial SSU rRNA
Rfam family: Bacterial small subunit ribosomal RNA
Source: RNAcentral